GAUUAUUGGGCGUAAGCGCGCGCAGGUGGUUUCUUAAGUCUGAUGUGAAAGCCCACGGCUCAACCGUGGAGGGUCAUUGGAAACUGGGAGACUUGAGUGCAGAAGAGGAAAGUGGAAUUCCAUGUGUAGCGGUGAAAUGCGUAGAGAUAUGGAGGAACACCAGUGGCGAAGGCGACUUUCUGGUCUGUAACUGACACUGAGGCGCGAAAGCGUGGGGAGCAAACAGGAUUAGAUACCCUGGUAGUCCACGCCGUAGGCGAUGAGUGCUAAGUGUU
Molecule: ribosomal RNA, 275 nt
Filed under: Bacillus cereus
Lineage: Bacteria; Bacillati; Bacillota; Bacilli; Caryophanales; Bacillaceae
Description: partial 16S ribosomal RNA
Rfam family: Bacterial small subunit ribosomal RNA
Source: RNAcentral